CCUACGGGAGGCUGCAGUGGGGAAUAUUGCACAAUGGGCGCAAGCCUGAUGCAGCCAUGCCGCGUGUGUGAAGAAGGCCCUCGGGUUGUAAAGCACUUUCAGCGGGGAGGAAGGCGUUAAGGUUAAUAACCUUGGCGAUUGACGUUACCCGCAGAAGAAGCACCGGCUAACUCCGUGCCAGCAGCCGCGGUAAUACGGAGGGUGCAAGCGUUAAUCGGAAUUACUGGGCGUAAAGCGCACGCAGGCGGUCUGUCAAGUCGGAUGUGAAAUCCCCGGGCUCAACCUGGGAACUGCAUUCGAAACUGGCAGGCUAGAGUCUUGUAGAGGGGGGUAGAAUGCCAGGUGUAGCGGUGAAAUGCGUAGAGAUCUGGAGGAAUACCGGUGGCGAAGGCGGCCCCCUGGACAAAGACUGACGCUCAGGUGCGAAAGCGUGGGGAGCAAACAGGAUUAGAUACCCGUGUAGUC
This 465-nucleotide ribosomal RNA is filed under the name uncultured Klebsiella sp. RNAcentral's name for it is "bacterial SSU rRNA". It matches the Rfam family "Bacterial small subunit ribosomal RNA", at positions 338 to 795 of the family's 1533-position model. Lineage: Bacteria; Pseudomonadati; Pseudomonadota; Gammaproteobacteria; Enterobacterales; Enterobacteriaceae. The record is from RNAcentral.